This 889-nucleotide long non-coding RNA is filed under the name Marmota monax (woodchuck). Lineage: Eukaryota; Metazoa; Chordata; Mammalia; Rodentia; Sciuridae. The record is from RNAcentral.
UGGAACUCUGGUGGACCCAGCGUCCACCCCAUCUAGGAUUCCUGCCCUGGUCCCUCGAGCCCAAGCUCCCCAAUGCCUGCCCCAGCCUGAACUCCUCUGUCUUCCAAUUCCGCAUGAGUAGUGGGCGAGGCAUCUUUAUUGAUUGGCGGAUUAAUUGGCGGAAAAAGGCUGGCUUCUUGGAAUUGAUAAGUGGUCCUCCAAGCCACAAACACAAAGGCACAGCGGGGGAUCCUGGGGACUGAUGAUUCGUACCCAUCCAAGGGAGAACAGAGCUCCGCCACAGAGAGCAUCCACAGGUGCAAAGGGGCGACUGGUUUCCAGUGGUCCUCAGUACCUCCCCCUCUUUAAUUCUGUACCUUGAAAACUAUUCUCAUUUACCUCCAAACCCCUACAUUUGAUCUUGUCUAGCAAAUGUCUGUGCUUUCCUCGCCCCCAGGUUCCUCCUUGGGGAUCACAGUUCCCAGUCUCAGAUUCCACACUCUUUAUUACACAAGCGGAACUUGUGAAGGUCGUGAUGGAAAGAAAGCCCAGCUCAGGGAUGAGUCUGUAAAAAUCCUCAGAUACAGUAAUCGUCCUCCAGUUUCUGUUGUCAUAAGCCUGCUUGGUGCAGGGCAAAAGUAUCCUGGAGAGAGGUGGCGCCCAAAUGUCUAAAUCAGAUUUAUGGUUUGUUUUGUUUGCCCUUUUUUGGUAUUGAGGAUUGAACCCAGGGCGUUGCAUAAGCUAAGCUCCCGUCCACUACUGAGUUUCACUUACUGCCUGACUUUCCAUUUUUGAAUAGCAGAAACCAAUUCAAAAGCCAUGUAAAAGUCCAUCAUGUAGGGUCUGGCAAGAGUGGAGCACGCCUUUGGGAGGCUGAGGCAGGGGGAUUGCAAAUUUAAGGGCAGCCUGG